Molecule: ribosomal RNA, 468 nt
Filed under: uncultured bacterium
Lineage: Bacteria
Description: partial 16S ribosomal RNA
Rfam family: Bacterial small subunit ribosomal RNA
Source: RNAcentral
GACGAACGCUGGCGGCGUGCUUAACACAUGCAAGUCGAACGGAAAGGCCCUGCUUUUGUGGGGUGCUCGAGUGGCGAACGGGUGAGUAACACGUGAGUAACCUGCCCUUGACUUUGGGAUAACUUCAGGAAACUGGGGCUAAUACCGGAUAGGAGCUCCUGCUGCAUGGUGGGGGUUGGAAAGUUUCGGCGGUUGGGGAUGGACUCGCGGCUUAUCAGCUUGUUGGUGGGGUAGUGGCUUACCAAGGCUUUGACGGGUAGCCGGCCUGAGAGGGUGACCGGCCACAUUGGGACUGAGAGACGGCCCAGACGCCAACGGGAGGCAGCAGUGGGGAAUAUUGCACAAUGGGCGGAAGCCUGAUGCAGCAACGCCGCGUGCGGGAUAACGGCCUUCGGGUUGUAAACCGCUUUCGCCUGUGACGAAGCGUGAGUGACGGUAAUGGGUAAAGAAGCACCGGCUAACUACGUG